GAUGAACGCUGGCGGCGUGCCUAACACAUGCAAGUCGAACGGCAAGGCCCUGCUUUUGUGCGGUUCUCGAUUGCCGAACGCGUGCGUAUCACGUGAGUAUCCUGCCCUUGUCUUUGGUAUAACUUCACGUAACUGGGGCUACUACCGGAUAGGAUAUCCUGCUCCAUGGUGGGCGUUGGAUCGUUUCGGCUGUUGGGGAUGGACUCGCGGCUUAUGAGCUUGUUUGUGGGGUAGUUGCUUACCAAGGCUUUGAAGGGUAGCCGGCCUGAGAGGGUGACCGGCGACAUGGGGACUGAGAGAGGGACCAGAGUGCUACGGGAGGCAGCAGGGGGGAGUAUGGCACAGUGAGCGGAAGCGUGAGGCAGAAACGCCGGGUGCGGGAAGACGGCUUUCGGGUAGAGAACAGCUGUAGCCUGUGACGAAGCGGGAGUGACGGUAACGGAUAAAGAAGCACCGGCUAACUACGUG
RNAcentral lists this ribosomal RNA (468 nucleotides) under uncultured bacterium. RNAcentral describes it as "partial 16S ribosomal RNA". It matches the Rfam family "Bacterial small subunit ribosomal RNA", at positions 28 to 507 of the family's 1533-position model. The record is from RNAcentral.